AGGGCACCACCAGGAGUGGAGCCUGCGGCUUAUUUUGACUCAACAGGGAAAAACUCACCCGGCCCGGACACCGUAAGGAUUGACAGACUGAGAGCUCUUUCUGAUUCGGUGGGUGGGUGGUGCAUGGCCGUUCUUAGUCGGGGGAGCGAUUUGUCUGGGUUAAUUCCGAUAACGACGAAGAUUCUGUGCCUAUUAAUAAGGCGGGAUGAUCGCACUGUAUAUCUUGGCUUCUUUAUAGAGACAAGUGGCGUCUAUCCGCUGACAUAAGCACAUAGGUCUGUGAUGGACCUCAAUGUCUGGGCGCUGCGCGCUACACUGAUAGAUAAGCGUGCGCUUUACUAGUUCGGAAGACCGGGUACCAGUAAUCUGUCGCUUGGAACGAAUGGCAUAUUCUGUACAGAAUCCGUAUUGCGAUUCAGGUCGCGGUAACUCUGCAUGACACGCCCGCCUCUCGAUGACUAAGAGACUCAGCAGUAAGUCUCGGUCAUGCGGGAUUGAUCGACUACUUAUCUAAGGAGU
RNAcentral lists this ribosomal RNA (519 nucleotides) under uncultured eukaryote. RNAcentral's name for it is "bacterial SSU rRNA". It matches the Rfam family "Eukaryotic small subunit ribosomal RNA", at positions 1161 to 1611 of the family's 1831-position model. The record is from RNAcentral.